ACCUUAAACGGGGGAUCACUUGGCUCAUGGGUCGAUGAAGACCGCAGCAAACUGCGUGUCACCAUGUGAACUGCAGGACACACGAUCAUUGACAUGUUGAACGCAUAUUGCACCCCAUGCGAUUAGAUUUUGUAAUAUAAAUAAUAUUCACAAGGUCUGUGUGGGGUACACAUGGUUGAGUGUCGUUA
Molecule: ribosomal RNA, 188 nt
Filed under: Culicoides arakawae
Lineage: Eukaryota; Metazoa; Arthropoda; Insecta; Diptera; Ceratopogonidae
Description: 5.8S ribosomal RNA
Rfam family: 5.8S ribosomal RNA
About the family: 5.8S ribosomal RNA (5.8S rRNA) is a component of the large subunit of the eukaryotic ribosome. It is transcribed by RNA polymerase I as part of the 45S precursor that also contains 18S and 28S rRNA.
Source: RNAcentral